Molecule: ribosomal RNA, 1054 nt
Filed under: Bacillus licheniformis
Lineage: Bacteria; Bacillati; Bacillota; Bacilli; Caryophanales; Bacillaceae
Description: bacterial SSU rRNA
Rfam family: Bacterial small subunit ribosomal RNA
Source: RNAcentral
GCGGCGGACGGGUGAGUAACACGUGGGUAACCUGCCUGUAAGACUGGGAUAACUCCGGGAAACCGGGGCUAAUACCGGAUGCUUGAUUGAACCGCAUGGUUCAAUCAUAAAAGGUGGCUUUUAGCUACCACUUGCAGAUGGACCCGCGGCGCAUUAGCUAGUUGGUGAGGUAACGGCUCACCAAGGCGACGAUGCGUAGCCGACCUGAGAGGGUGAUCGGCCACACUGGGACUGAGACACGGCCCAGACUCCUACGGGAGGCAGCAGUAGGGAAUCUUCCGCAAUGGACGAAAGUCUGACGGAGCAACGCCGCGUGAGUGAUGAAGGUUUUCGGAUCGUAAAACUCUGUUGUUAGGGAAGAACAAGUACCGUUCGAAUAGGGCGGCACCUUGACGGUACCUAACCAGAAAGCCACGGCUAACUACGUGCCAGCAGCCGCGGUAAUACGUAGGUGGCAAGCGUUGUCCGGAAUUAUUGGGCGUAAAGCGCGCGCAGGCGGUUUCUUAAGUCUGAUGUGAAAGCCCCCGGCUCAACCGGGGAGGGUCAUUGGAAACUGGGGAACUUGAGUGCAGAAGAGGAGAGUGGAAUUCCACGUGUAGCGGUGAAAUGCGUAGAGAUGUGGAGGAACACCAGUGGCGAAGGCGACUCUCUGGUCUGUAACUGACGCUGAGGCGCGAAAGCGUGGGGAGCGAACAGGAUUAGAUACCCUGGUAGUCCACGCCGUAAACGAUGAGUGCUAAGUGUUAGAGGGUUUCCGCCCUUUAGUGCUGCAGCAAACGCAUUAAGCACUCCGCCUGGGGAGUACGGUCGCAAGACUGAAACUCAAAGGAAUUGACGGGGGCCCGCACAAGCGGUGGAGCAUGUGGUUUAAUUCGAAGCAACGCGAAGAACCUUACCAGGUCUUGACAUCCUCUGACAACCCUAGAGAUAGGGCUUCCCCUUCGGGGGCAGAGUGACAGGUGGUGCAUGGUUGUCGUCAGCUCGUGUCGUGAGAUGUUGGGUUAAGUCCCGCAACGAGCGCAACCUUUGAUCUUAGUUGCCAGCAUUCAGUUGG